Long non-coding RNA from Motacilla alba alba, 306 nucleotides. RefSeq lists it as uncharacterized. NCBI's taxonomy places the organism in Eukaryota, Metazoa, Chordata, Aves, Passeriformes, Motacillidae. The transcript is spliced from 3 exons. The record is from RefSeq and is a predicted model, not a curated record.
UAAAUUGUUGCCAAAACCUGAGGCUAAGGCACACCUUGUCUGAAGCUCACACUCGUCCUGUGACAAUUAUCUAACAACAAGAGAUGGGAGGAGGAAUGGAUUCUCUCAGCAAAGGGCAGUAAAAACGAAGGAAACAGACUCCAUCAAGACCUCCCAGUCUGAACAGGAGACUUGCACUGCAGGUCUUGGAAACAGGAUUGCUUCUGAUUAUGUACAGUUAGUGCUUGCAGGAAUAAGACCCAGAUCCCAACUGAAAGCUCCAGGAACCACAAAGAGCAGGACUGGACAGUGUGCAAUUAGAAGGGU